GGAAUUAAGAAGUUCCUACGACAAAGUAACAGUUAACAAGGGAGAUGCUUCCAGCUUACAAAAGAGCUCACAGUUUACAGGCAGCCUUUUGGACUACACAACCCACAUAAACAUCUGACAGACUUAAGGCUUUCCAGAAGAAACAUGCACAGGGGGUUUACACCCAACGUAAAGGUAAAGGCAAGGCAAACAGCUCCCAGGAAGGUUUUUACAAAAGUGGAAAUAGAAACAUUGUGACUCUUCAAACAGCAGAGUUAUUACAUACAUUGUGUCCCAGGCUGCAUGAACACAAAAAAGAAGUGUACCUGGUUUGCAAACUGACUGCUCUUCCACACAACUCAAGGGGUUGCUUUGAGAUGUACGUUUAUUCUAAAAAUGUCCAACUUCCUUUUAAAAAACAAAUCCAUCAAAACCAAAAGCCCCGUAAAAGGUAACUUUUUAAUAAAAAAAAGUUUUAGAUUUGUAACACCAAGUGCUUCAAAAUAAAGGACUACUUUAGAUGAGUAAGAUGCAGUGCUAAUUCACUGUUAGUGUUAUAAACUGAUGAAGAGUUACAGCCAUAUAAGCAUCUGAUUUUACAGAUCAGAGUUAAAACGACUGAAAGGUUCAUCUGCUUUAAUGUCUGUAGUACAAAAGGCGUGCAACUUGCAGAGCCUAGAGGCUAUACAGUGCAGCAUGCCAUGAGAAGGGCUGAAUAGGAGUCAUGAAUGGAAGACUGCAUGCAAUGUGUUACGGUUUUGCAGCCUUCCAGAAGUUGAGUAGCUCCUCUGACAAUUGAAUAGGGCAAAUCUCCAAGCUAUUUAUACCUUGAGCAUUUCCUGUCCCCAUGUUGGAUUCUAACAGUGUGAAAGGUUUUAUGCAGGCAUGAAGAAGUUUGCUUUCUGAAGUAACAAUUAUUCUAAGCAGCACACUGAAUAUGUUUCUUAAGUAUGCACGAAGCUGCAUUUCAAAGUGCAAUAGCUAUUGACCUAGUGCUUUAAAGUAAAGAAAAACAUUCUCCAUAGUUCAUGAUUUCAUCCUGCAGGCUAUACAGCUUCUCAUAAGUGGCUGUAGUAGGCAGUAGGUGGAGAGAGGCAAAUCCUUGAAUGGAAACUGUAGCAAAGUUGUUGUGUUCCUACCUAGCUCAUCAAACCCUACAAACCUCAUGUAGUGAUAGAUUUCUGGGUGAUUUGUACCCAACACCACUCUCUUCUAUCUAAAUUCAGCUGCUGAAAUGAAGGCAGCUAACUAAAAGUAGACUUUUGUGUGAAAGAACUGUAUGUUCAGUUUAGUUCUACAACUGAAGCCAAAUCUCCAAACUCAGAAUGUGCUCAGAUGCAACAUGUUCCUUCAUUCUAACUAUGAUUUAUUUUUUACUAGGCUCUGACUGAUAGAUUUUAGGGUUGUGGUAAAAAACAAAGACCCAACAAGUCUGAUAUUUGCCCACCCUGUAUCAUAGGUUAACACUUACUAUAAAAUAAACCAGUUCCAAGACACUUUUUCAGCCUUUCAUCACGUAGGGCAAGAAUAUAUAUUUACAAAAGCUGCCUCUGAAGGGGAAUCAAACCUCGUGUAGUGAUAAUAUAUUUAUACAUCUUUGAAUAAAGCUCUACCUCACUUGUUCCUAGGACCACCAAAAGUUUCUACAGUGAUGCAGGGGAUGUGGGAAACACCAUGUCUAGGAAGUCUGAAAAUGAAUUGUAAGAAUUGAUAAUAAGAUCCAGUGUAAAUUCAUACGCUUCAUGGUUUGAGGCCACUUACUAUCACAGUUUUCACCUUAUUGAGUGAACAAAUCCUGUUAAGAUGGGCCUAGACAACGUGAUCUACAAGCCACAUACAGUGGGACCUUGACUUACGAAUUUAAUCCGUUCCAAAUGCACACUCGUAGGUCGAAAACUUCGUAAGUCGAGUUUCCCAUAGGAAAAGCGGUUUCCCAUAGAGAUGCAUUGGAAAUGGAAAAAUUUGUAAGUCGAGCAAACUGCAUCUAGCUGUGAACGGGUUUUCCGUUCGGAUGUCAAAAAAAUCGUAAGCACACGGCCAAUUUUCCCGCUCAUAAGUCGGAAACGUCGGAUGUUGAGUAGCUCGUAAGUCGAGGUCCCACUGUACAUUGUCAGGCCUUUUGUUGGGUGACAGUACUCACUGGUAUGAAGUACAUGGGUAUGGAGAGGGGUCCCCAAACUAAGGCCCGGGGGCCAGAUGCGACCCAAUCGCCUUCUAAAUCUGGCUUGCGGACGGUCCAGGAAUCAGCAUGUUUUUACAUGAGUAGAAUGUGUCCUUUUAUUUAAAAUGCAUCUCUGGGUUAUUUGUGGGGCAAAAUGUAGUCUGGCCCCCCACAAGGUCUGAGGGACAGUGGACCGGUCCCCCUGCUGAAAAAGUUUGCUGACCCCUGGUAUAGAGUCACCUCUUUUUUGUUGUUGUUGUUGUUGUUGCUCAUGGGAACCAUUUUGUACAGGCUCCCAUGCCACGUUUAUUAAUAUAUGAGGAUUGUCACCUCUCUUCUAACCCCGCAAAGUACUGCACAUUGUGGUCUGUCAAGUGCUUGACAACCCUCCUGUUUUUGCAUUUUCAGGCAAGCUGAAAGAGAAGGAGAUUUCAAUGGGGUUCAUAAAGUAAUAAUUGUGUCUUUUUUGUUUGGCGAAGCCUGUGAUUUUCUAGCAUUUUAAAGACAUUAAAAACAGAUGAACCUUUUGAUUGUAUAUCUAUUAUCAUCUCAACCACACUGCUUUUUUGUGGUUUUCAGCUGACAGUUUAAUUGUAAUUCAACAGUCACUUUAAUUCCACCCCCCUCUUUACAUUUGCUUAUCACUAAUUUUGGUGUUGCAAUUUAUAGACUCAUUAGGAAAAACAAAAAACAAAAACAAAUUGUUCAUAUAAUAUAUAACCACACACAAAAGAUUACGUACACCAUAAGUCUAAUUUUUCAGUAUUUACCUAGUUAUUGCAAAACGAGUCAUCUUUUAAAUAAACAAAUGUCCUUAUUAGUACAAUACUUUAUACCUUUUUAAUGCACUAGAUAUAAUUAGUAAAAGGGAGGAAGUCUUCUCGCUUUGCAAUACCUGCUUGAAAAGUUAAAUGGGUUAGAAGGUUAGUUUUAAUACAGAGGAAAGAAAAAUAAUAUUUUUUGCCUACUUUUAGGACCUGUCUGCUCCCAUCAGGCAUUUUUAAGGCUAUGUUUGUCAUUUGGCUUCAAACAGAAAUUGAGUUGCAGUUAUAAAAUAAUUUAGUGAAUUACAUUCGUUUGUAUCGUCCACAGUAAUCAGUUAUGAAGAUAAUUCUAAGAAGAAUUUGUGUGCUAAUUUAUGCUUAUAGUUAAAAUUCAUUUCAAUUUCACUAGCAUCUUAAAAACAGGGUUUUUAAAAAAUUAAUUCAGACAAAACACCUCAUAAACUCUUAUAAUUGCGGUUAAGUUUUCCCAUGGCAAACGCUCUGUCUUAUAUUUUUCUAACACAACAACAACAAAAAUUAAAACUUCCACAAAGGCCUUGAAAUUCUUAAAUAUAGUCUUCCCAAGAAACGGUGGUUUUUGUUUUUGUUUAUAUAAAUUUGAAGAACACUUUGUUUUAGAAAGAAUUUGUACAACUGUACCAGAAUUUCACAGCUACAAUAUAUAUUGACACACUAAAAUGAGGUUUAGAAAAAUGUAGGGGAAAGCUCAGCCAGAGGAACUGCCACUUAGUGUUGAGGUUGACAGUCUGUGUUUUGAUAAGGAGUUAAACAAAACAUGUCUAUAAAUAACUGUUUAGUCCUUUACAAGCCUGUAGAUGUGAUGCUGUGCACCAUGUUCGCUGUUUGAAACUUCAAAUACACAAGCCAUGCAAAGUAGGGUUUCUUGUGUGUCUCUGUUCGUUACAACC
This is a non-coding RNA of Zootoca vivipara (common lizard), 3833 nucleotides long. Lineage: Eukaryota; Metazoa; Chordata; Lepidosauria; Squamata; Lacertidae. The record is from RefSeq and is a predicted model, not a curated record.